CCCAAGAAGGUUUGCAGGUAAACUAAAACUGGCAUAAUACAGGGAUGAUUAGCAUGGCUCCAGGGCAUAGAUGACACAUAAAUUGAGAAUGCAUUCUGUUAUUUU
This is a small nuclear RNA of Tachyglossus aculeatus (Australian echidna), 105 nucleotides long. The record is from RefSeq and is a predicted model, not a curated record. NCBI's taxonomy places the organism in Eukaryota, Metazoa, Chordata, Mammalia, Monotremata, Tachyglossidae.